GACGAACGCUGGCGGCGUGCUUAAUACAUGCAAGUCGAACGGAAAGGCCCUGCUUUUGUGGGGUGCUCGAGUGGCGAACGGGUGAGUAACACGUGAGUAACCUGCCCUUGACUUUGGGAUAACUUCAGGAAACUGGGGCUAAUACCGGAUAGGAGCUCCUGCUGCAUGGUGGGGGUUGGAAAGUUUCGGCGGUUGGGGAUGGACUCGCGGCUUAUCAGCUUGUUGGUGGGGUAGUGGCGUACCAAGGCUUUGACGGGUAGCCGGCCUGAGAGGGUGAACGGCCACCAUAGGCCUGAGAGACGGAGCAGUCGCCUACGGGAGGCAGCAGGGGGAAAUAUUGCGCAAUGGGCGGAAGCCAGAUGCAACGACGCCGCGUGCGGAAUGACGGCUUUCGGGGUGUAAACCGCUUUCGCCUGUGACGAAGCGUGAGUGACGGUAAUGGGUAAAGAAGCACCGGCUAACUACGUG
This 468-nucleotide ribosomal RNA is filed under the name uncultured bacterium. RNAcentral's name for it is "partial 16S ribosomal RNA". It matches the Rfam family "Bacterial small subunit ribosomal RNA", at positions 28 to 507 of the family's 1533-position model. The record is from RNAcentral.